This is a non-coding RNA of Ictidomys tridecemlineatus (thirteen-lined ground squirrel), 318 nucleotides long. The record is from RefSeq and is a predicted model, not a curated record. NCBI's taxonomy places the organism in Eukaryota, Metazoa, Chordata, Mammalia, Rodentia, Sciuridae.
GGAGAGAAGUCUCAGGGAGGGAAUUCUAGAAGGCAUUGUCAUCAUAGGAAGAGGAUCCAAGUUUCACGACACCUGAAGACCUUCCAGUGGGAAAUAAGGAAAGAAAGCUCUCUGAUGCUAAACUUUUCCUAGCAAGAGACCAAGAGUGAUGCUAAGUCCUCUGCUACCAGUAUCGCUCCAUCAAAAAGAUGAGAAACACUGCAACAUCGACCAAGAGAAAAUCUUUUAUCUCUAGAACCCAGAUAUGUGCCCAACCACCCUGUUUUGCUCCUACCAAAGGCAUCUAACUGCAAAUAUAAAUAAAAACUCAAAAUCACA